GACGAACGCCGGCGGCGUGCUUAACACAUGCAAGUCGAACGGAAAGGCCUGCUUUCCCUUGUGGAUUGCGGGUACUCGAGUGGCGAACGGGUGAGUAACACGUGAGUGAUCUGCCCCCAACUUGGGUAUAAGCCUGGGAAACUGGGUCUAAUUCCCGAUAGGACUGCAGGGUGGUGCCUGUGGUGGAAAACGAUUUUCUAGUGGUUGGGGAUGAGCUCGCGGCCUAUCAGCUUGUUGGUGGGGUAAUGGCCUACCAAGGCGGCGACGGGUAGCCGGCCUGAGAGGGUGGACGGCCACAUUGGGACUGAGAUACGGCCCAGACUCCUACGGGAGGCAGCAGUGGGGAAUAUUGCACAAUGGGCGGAAGCCUGAUGCAGCGACGCCGCGUGGGGGAUGACGGCCUUCGGGUUGUAAACUCCUUUCGACCGCGAGGAAGCCACCUGGUUGGAAGGGUGGUGACGGUAGUGGUAGAAGAAGCACCGGCUAACUACGU
Molecule: ribosomal RNA, 493 nt
Filed under: uncultured bacterium
Lineage: Bacteria
Description: partial 16S ribosomal RNA
Rfam family: Bacterial small subunit ribosomal RNA
Source: RNAcentral